Molecule: ribosomal RNA, 366 nt
Filed under: Hypsilurus godeffroyi
Lineage: Eukaryota; Metazoa; Chordata; Lepidosauria; Squamata; Agamidae
Description: partial 12S rRNA
Rfam family: Bacterial small subunit ribosomal RNA
Source: RNAcentral
GCUUAGCUGUUAACAUAUAUGUCGCCAGAAGAGUAGAAGCCACAGCCCGAAACUCAAAGGACCUGGCGGUGCCCUAAAUCAACCUAGAGGAGCCUGUGCCAUAAUCGAUUAUCCCCGAUCAACCUCACCCCCCCUUGCAACUUCAGCCUGUAUACCGCCGUCGCCAGCUUAUCUCCCAAGAGAACAAAGCAAAAUCAUCACCCAUAAAAACGACAGGUCAAGGUGCAGCUCAUGGGGCGGACAUCAUGGGCUACAAUGCCAAAUUUCGGCAUAAACGAAACUUGAAAUGAACACACUUCGAGAGAAGUAGGAUUUAGCAGUAAGAUCAAUAAGAACAUUUGUCUGAACACACGCACUGGGGCAUGC